This is a long non-coding RNA of Gymnogyps californianus (California condor), 544 nucleotides long. RefSeq lists it as uncharacterized. Lineage: Eukaryota; Metazoa; Chordata; Aves; Accipitriformes; Cathartidae. The transcript has 3 exons. The record is from RefSeq and is a predicted model, not a curated record.
CUGCGGUGCUGGUAGGAAUGGUUGGUGGAAGCUGGCGUCCGGACUGGUCCUGCGAGGGGUGAAAAAUCAGGUCCUCUGAAAAAGUCCUGCUGGAGACACAACCAAACCAGAGAACUAGCCUAGAGGACAGUGACAUGUCAAAGAUGUGGCUGAUUAAGAGAAAAGGAAAAUAACAAUUAGUAGUUCAUUUUCAUCGUGGCAAAAAGGCUCCAUCUGGUGGUGUUUUCACCCAGAAAAGAAGCUCCUGGUGGUGUCUGCAUGGAAGGCAGAGACCCUGGGCCCUGUGGCAGGAGGGUCACAGGUCCAAGCUGCUCUCUCUCUCGGAGGUUCCUUGAAUUCCCCCUUUCUUGGGAGAUGUCAACGCCGAGCAGAUAUUUGAGAGAGAGCUUGGCCAGACCCCCCAGCCUCUGCCCCCACAUCAAUUAGGGCCUGAAGAAGCGUCGUACCACUAAAUGCCCCACCAUGACCAGGGCCACCACCAGCAGCAUGUACUUCAUGUAAACAUUGUCCAGAUCGAGUGCAGCCACCUAACAGGAAACAGAGA